GAGGGGGAACGAAGGAACAGAAGGGAGAAAGGAGGGAGAGAGAGAGAGCCACGACGGGGGAGAAGAGAAGAGGGGAAGGAGACGCGCCGGCGCUGCUGGGUGUCGCCGCCACCGUCGCAUCCUUGCCAAGCCUUGGAGGGAGACCCCGCCGUUAAGCCACGUCACCGUCGAACUCGUCCAAUCACGCCACCGUGCUCUGCCCUGUCUCGCGUCGCCACUGUGCCAUGCGUCACCGCCGUUCACACUGUCAGUUUUGCGCAGGGGAAACCAUGGCCGUCGAGGGUCCAUCCACGCCGUAGCUGAAGCUUGAACGCCGCUGCAACCACCGUGUGUUACCGUCUUCAGAUCCGCCGACGUUGGAGUCGCGAACAGAGAUCGCGCGCAAGGGAAAUUGUUGCGAAGCUACCGUCGCCACCGCGUUGCUGGGCUCACUAUCGUUCUGCCCGCGCAGCAGCUGUGUUGUCCGAGCUCCUCGCCGCCGCUGCUGGCGCUGGAAACCGCCUUCCAAGCCUGUGUUUGUUGGUUAUACGAUCACCGCGAGUUUCUCUGCCGCCAUCCAAGCUGCUACCAGAAGGAUCCACCACAGCCUCCUCUGUUCUUGUCUUCGAAUCAGCACUGCCCUUUUCCAGUUUCAACCCCAAUUCUGCUAUUUUUGAAU
Non-coding RNA from Arachis ipaensis, 658 nucleotides. NCBI's taxonomy places the organism in Eukaryota, Viridiplantae, Streptophyta, Magnoliopsida, Fabales, Fabaceae. The record is from RefSeq and is a predicted model, not a curated record.